CGGGAAGUAGCGCAGUCUGGUUAGCGUAUCUGCUUUGGGAGCAGAGGGCCGUGGGUUCGAAUCCCACCUUCCCGACCA
Molecule: transfer RNA, 78 nt
Filed under: Candidatus Aadella gelida
Lineage: Bacteria; Pseudomonadati; Candidatus Omnitrophota
Description: tRNA-Pro
Rfam family: tRNA
About the family: Transfer RNA (tRNA) molecules are approximately 80 nucleotides in length. Their secondary structure includes four short double-helical elements and three loops (D, anti-codon, and T loops).
Source: RNAcentral